RNAcentral lists this long non-coding RNA (621 nucleotides) under Homo sapiens (human). RNAcentral's name for it is "HSALNT0256205". The record is from RNAcentral. Lineage: Eukaryota; Metazoa; Chordata; Mammalia; Primates; Hominidae.
UUUGGGGCAUCUUCGGGCCCCUGCUCCCCUCCCACCCAGCCUCCCCUUCUGCACUCCCCUCCUGCUCAGGCCACAGCAGCAGCAGUAGGUGACAUCUGGAGAGUCUUCAGGCAGCUUUGGGAGGGGGCGAAGGCAGAGGAGGCCACGGGUGUUUGCAGAAUGUGUGUGUGUACGCAUGUGUGUGAGAAUGUGUGAGACUGUGAGACUGUGAGUGUGAGUGCCUAUAGGUGUGAGCAUGUGGUUGUGUGUUCCUGUGUGAAUGUGUGAGUCUGCAUUUGUGCAACAAUGUGUGUGAUGUGAAGGGUAUGAGACUUGUGAAGAUGGAUGUGUGUGAGGCUGUGGGGCUGUGUGAGGGUGGGUGGGAGUGUGCAAGGCUGUGGGGCUGUGUGAGGAUGAGUGUGUGAGACCAUGUAUGAGCAUGCGUGUGACUGUGUGAGUGUGACAGAGCAUAAGUGUGAGUGUUGAGUGUGAGUGUAUGUCCUGGGGACAGGGCCCCUGUUUGCUGAGAAUGCACGUGUGCUCCAGGCCUGGCCGCCGUUCUCUUCCACCCUGCUCCUCCUGCCCUAAGUUCUCUCCUUUCACACUUCACACCAGGGUUACUUCUCUCCCCUCCCAAAUUCC